Molecule: ribosomal RNA, 461 nt
Filed under: uncultured bacterium
Lineage: Bacteria
Description: partial 16S ribosomal RNA
Rfam family: Bacterial small subunit ribosomal RNA
Source: RNAcentral
CCUACGGGUGGCAGCAGUGAGGAAUAUUCGUCAAUGGACGAGAGUCUGAACCAGCCAAGUAGCGUGAAGGAUGACUGCCCUAUGGGUUGUAAACUUCUUUUAUAUGGGAAUAAAAUGUUCCACGUGUGGGAUUUUGUAUGUACCAUAUGUAUAAGGAUCGGCUAACUCCGUGCCAGCAGCCGCGGUAAUACGGAGGAUCCGAGCGUUAUCCGGAUUAAUUGGGUUUAAAGGGAGCGUAUGUGGAUUGUUAAGUCAGUUGUGAAAGUUUGCGGCUCACCAGUAAAGUUGCAGUUGAAACUGGGAGUCUUGAGUACAGUAGAGGUGGGCGGAAUUCGUAGUGUAGCGGUGAAAUGCUUAGAUAUCACGAAGAAAUCCGAUUGCGAAGGCAGCUCAAUGGACUGCAACUGACACUGAGGCUAGAAAGUGUGGGUAUCAAACAGGAUUAGAUAACCCUGGUAGUC